RNAcentral lists this ribosomal RNA (253 nucleotides) under uncultured bacterium. RNAcentral's name for it is "partial 16S ribosomal RNA". It matches the Rfam family "Bacterial small subunit ribosomal RNA", at positions 524 to 776 of the family's 1533-position model. The record is from RNAcentral.
UACAGAGGUCUCAAGCGUUGUUCGGAUUCAUUGGGCGUAAAGGGUGCGUAGGCGGCGCGGUAAGUCGGGUGUGAAAUCUCGGAGCUUAACUCCGAAACUGCAUUCGAUACUGCCGUGCUUGAGGACUGGAGAGGAGACUGGAAUUUACGGUGUAGCGGUGAAAUGCGUAGAUAUCGUAAGGAAGACCAGUGGCGAAGGCGGGUCUCCGGACAGUUCCUGACGCUGAGGCACGAAGGCCAGGGGAGCAAACGGG